GACGAACGCUGGCGGCGUGCUUAACACAUGCAAGUCGAGCGGUAAGGCCCUUUCGGGGGUACGACGAGCGGCGAACGGGUGAGUAACACGUGGGUGACCUGCCUUUAGCUCUGGGAUAAGCCUGGGAAACUGGGUCUAAUACCGGAUAUGACCCUAUGGCGCAUGUUGUGGGGUGGAAAGCCUUGUGCGGCUAGGGAUGGGCCCGCGGCCUAUCAGCUUGUUGGUGGGGUGAUGGCCUACCAAGGCGACGACGGGUAG
RNAcentral lists this ribosomal RNA (258 nucleotides) under uncultured bacterium. RNAcentral describes it as "partial 16S ribosomal RNA". It matches the Rfam family "Bacterial small subunit ribosomal RNA", at positions 28 to 286 of the family's 1533-position model. The record is from RNAcentral.